AUGAUCCGGCGGCUGCUCCUGCUGCUCUGCCAGCUCGCCCUCGCCGGCGCAGCGUCGGGUUCCAAGGUAGUGACCAGACUCCCCGGGUUCCAUGGGCGUCUCCCCUUCCACCUCGAGACCGGGUACGUGGAGGUGGACGAGGACAGCGGCACCGAGCUGUUCUACUACUUUGUCGAGUCGGAGGCCGGCGGCGAGAAUGUCCCUUUCCUCCUCUGGCUCACCGGCGGCGACCAUUGCUCCGUACUCAGCGGCCUUGCGUUCGAGAUCGGUCCAUUCAAGUUCGUCGUAGAGCCUUACAAUGGCACCAUACCGAGCCUGGAAAUCAAUCCGAACUCAUGGACCAAGGUGGCACAUAUCCUCUUCGUUGAUUCGCCGACCGGGGCAGGAUUUUCCUUUUCCAAACAACCCAAAGGUUACCAUGUUGGGGAUUUAUCUAGCUCACUGCAGCUCCAUGAGUUCCUUAUCAAGUGGAUUAGGGACCAUCCCAAGUUUCUAUCAAGUCCUCUCUACAUUGGGGGAGACUCGUAUGCUGGAAAAAUUGUACCAUUCAUCGCACAGAAGAUUUCCCAAGGUAAUGAAGUUGGAAGGAGACCCCUUCUUAAUCUCAAGGGCUAUCUAGUAGGUAACCCGAAAACGGGUGAAAGGAUCGACGAAAGCUCCAAAGUGCCUUUCGCUCACGGAUUUGGUAUAAUAUCAGAUCAAUUAUAUGAGACGAUAUUGGGGCAUUGCCAAGGACAGGACUACAAGAAUCCUACAAACGUGAUGUGUGCCAAAGCUCUGGGUACUUUCCAUAGUCUGCUCUCCGAAGUUAUGUUGCCCCAGAUUUUGUGGUACAAAUGCGUUUAUUCAUCUGCGGGACCGAACCCGGAGACGGACGACUCGGCUGGUGCUGGCAGGAAGAUCUUAAGCGAGGUAGCAGCUGAAAUCAAAAUGGGGAAACGGCUAAAACAUCCGCCAGUUCGUCCUCCGCUUGACUGUAUUGACUACGCCCACUACCUGUCGUAUUUCUGGGCGAACGACGAGCGCACCCGGGACGCCCUCGGCGUCAAGAACGGCACCGUGGAUGAGUGGGUGAGGUGCCAAGACGGCGGCGUCCCGUACACCAAGGACCUCGCGAGCAGCAUCAAGUAUCACCAGAACGUUACGGCCAACGGUUACCGCGCGCUUGUGUACAGCGGCGACCACGAUUCGGUGGUGCCGCACCUGGGGACGCAGGCGUGGGUGAGGUCGCUCGGCUUCCCCAUCGUCGACGACUGGAGGGCCUGGCAUCUCCAUGGCCAGUCUGCCGGGUUCACCAUAACUUACACUAACAACAUGACAUUCGCAACCGUAAAGGGUGGUGGUCACACGGCGCCUGAGUACGAGCCUGAGAGGUGCUUCGCCAUGUUCAGCCGUUGGAUACUGAAUCAACCACUCUAG
This 1419-nucleotide ribosomal RNA is filed under the name Triticum aestivum (bread wheat). Its description in RNAcentral is "partial small subunit ribosomal RNA". Lineage: Eukaryota; Viridiplantae; Streptophyta; Magnoliopsida; Poales; Poaceae. The record is from RNAcentral.